This 226-nucleotide long non-coding RNA is filed under the name Hordeum vulgare. RNAcentral describes it as "long non-coding RNA (HVUL_LNC003611)". Lineage: Eukaryota; Viridiplantae; Streptophyta; Magnoliopsida; Poales; Poaceae. The record is from RNAcentral.
GAUAGUUGGUGUAGUCUGCCUAGGGUGAUCAACGUCGGCAUCAAGGAUGGUGCGUGCUUGAACAGCUCCACAGGAUCGACUGUGUGGAAGGCCUAGAAGGCUAGAUGGUCCUCCGGCACAGUGGCGCUAACUAGACCAUUGUCGAAUGAGAAAAGGGAUAGGGUUGGGAGAAGCCUCUGAAACCGUCACGGCGGAGGACCAGCGAGCCGUCGACGACGGCGGUGAA